RNAcentral lists this long non-coding RNA (238 nucleotides) under Setaria italica (foxtail millet). RNAcentral describes it as "long non-coding RNA (SITA_LNC001098)". Lineage: Eukaryota; Viridiplantae; Streptophyta; Magnoliopsida; Poales; Poaceae. The record is from RNAcentral.
CGAUAGGGGCGCGACAUCCGUGUCCCGCGGGCCAUAAGCAGGACAACAGGGGUCAGCUGUCUCCCCCAACGUUGGCACGAUCGAACACCAUCAUCAUGCUUGGUGGCAGCGGUCGCAAGGAAGAUCAUCGACAGGAUCCGAAGACAGCCGCCCUCCUCCAGUGGAUGCGCUGAUAGGAACCGAAGGCCAGAGCAGGAGGCAGCGGCCUGGGGACUUGGUCCUUCUCCUUGCAUUUACU